Molecule: ribosomal RNA, 1319 nt
Filed under: uncultured Alphaproteobacteria bacterium
Lineage: Bacteria; Pseudomonadati; Pseudomonadota; Alphaproteobacteria
Description: bacterial SSU rRNA
Rfam family: Bacterial small subunit ribosomal RNA
Source: RNAcentral
ACGUACGCUGGCGGCACGCCUAACACAUGCAAGUCGAACGAAGUAGCAAUACUUAGUGGCAGACGGGUGAGUAACAUGUGGGUAUCUGCCCUUUGGCCUGGAAUAACACGAGGAAACUUGUGCUAAUACCGGAUAAGUCUUUACGGAGAAAGCUUUAUGCACCAUUGGAUGAGCCUGCACUUGAUUAGUUUGUUGGUGGGGUAAUGGCCUACCAAGACUGUGAUCAAUAGCUGAUUUGAGAGGAUGAUCAGCCACAUUGGGACUGAGACACGGCCCAAACUCCUACGGGAGGCAGCAGUGGGGAAUCUUGCACAAUGGAGGAAACUCUGAUGCAGCGAUGCCGCGUGAGUGAAGAAGGCCCUUGGGUUGUAAAGCUCUUUCGUCGGGGAAGAAAAUGACUGUACCCGAAUAAGAAGGUCCGGCUAACUUCGUGCCAGCAGCCGCGGUAAUACGAAGGGACCUAGCGUAGUUCGGAAUUACUGGGCUUAAAGAGUUCGUAGGUGGUUGAAAAAGUUAGUGGUGAAAUCCCAGAGCUUAACUCUGGAACUGCCAUUAAAACUUUUCAGCUAGAGUAUGAUAGAGGAAAGCAGAAUUUCUAGUGUAGAGGUGAAAUUCGUAGAUAUUAGAAAGAAUACCAAUUGCGAAGGCAGCUUUCUGGAUCAUUACUGACACUGAGGAACGAAAGCAUGGGUAGCGAAGAGGAUUAGAUACCCUCGUAGUCCAUGCCGUAAACGAUGUGUGUUAGACGUUGGAAAUUUAUUUUCAGUGUCGCAGCGAAAGCGAUAAACACACCGCCUGGGGAGUACGACCGCAAGGUUAAAACUCAAAUGAAUUGACGGGGACCCGCACAAGUAGUGGAGCAUGUGGUUUAAUUCGAAGAUACGCGCAGAACCUUACCAACACUUGACAUGUUCGUCGCGACUCUAAGAGAUUAGAGUUUUCGGUUCGGCCGGACGAAACACAGGUGCUGCAUGGCUGUCGUCAGCUCGUGUCGUGAGAUGUUGGGUUAAGUCCCGCAACGAGCGCAACCCUCACUUUUAGUUGCCAUCAUUAAGUUGGGCACUCUGAAAGAACUGCCAGUGAUAAGCUGGAGGAAGGUGGGGAUGACGUCAAGUCCUCAUGGCCCUUACGUGUUGGGCUACACACGUGCUACAAUGGUAUCUACAACAGGAAGCAAGACUGCGAAGUUAAGCAAAUCCCUAAAAGAUACCUCAGUUCGGAUUGCACUCUGCAACUCGAGUGCAUGAAGCUGGAAUUACUAGUAAUCGUGGAUCAGCGUGCCACGGUGAAUGCGUUCCCGGGUCUUGUACUCACCGCCC